This 26-nucleotide non-coding RNA is filed under the name Mus musculus (house mouse). Lineage: Eukaryota; Metazoa; Chordata; Mammalia; Rodentia; Muridae. RNAcentral also lists the same sequence under 1 other name. The record is from RNAcentral.
UAAUGACAAGAAGAUCGGUGUGAAAC